AGAGUUUGAUCAUGGCUCAGAGCGAACGCUGGCGGCAGGCCUAACACAUGCAAGUCGAACGCCCCGCAAGGGGAGUGGCAGACGGGUGAGUAACGCGUGGGAACAUACCCUUCGGUUCGGAAUAACUCAGGGAAACUUGGGCUAAUACCGGAUACGUCCGUGAGGAGAAAGAUUCAUCGCCGAAGGAUUGGCCCGCGUAAGAUUAGCUAGUUGGUGAGGUAACGGCUCACCAAGGCUAUGAUCUUUAGCUGGUCUGAGAGGACGAUCAGCCACACUGGGACUGAGACACGGCCCAGACUCCUACGGGAGGCAGCAGUGGGGAAUAUUGGACAAUGGGCGCAAGCCUGAUCCAGCCAUGCCGCGUGAGUGAUGAAGGCCUUAGGGUUGUAAAGCUCUUUCGGCGGGGACGAUAAUGACGGUACCCGCAGAAGAAGCCCCGGCUAACUUCGUGCCAGCCGCCGCGGUAAUACA
RNAcentral lists this ribosomal RNA (471 nucleotides) under uncultured bacterium. RNAcentral describes it as "bacterial SSU rRNA". It matches the Rfam family "Bacterial small subunit ribosomal RNA", at positions 8 to 527 of the family's 1533-position model. The record is from RNAcentral.